RNAcentral lists this ribosomal RNA (253 nucleotides) under uncultured bacterium. RNAcentral describes it as "partial 16S ribosomal RNA". It matches the Rfam family "Bacterial small subunit ribosomal RNA", at positions 524 to 776 of the family's 1533-position model. The record is from RNAcentral.
UACGUAGGGGGCAAGCGUUGUCCGGAUUUAUUGGGCGUAAAGAGCGUGUAGGCGGCCAGGUAGGUCCGUUGUGAAAACUCGAGGCUUAACCUCGAGACGUCGAUGGAAACCAUCUGGCUAGAGUCCGGAAGAGGAGAGUGGAAUUCCUGGUGUAGCGGUGAGAUGCGCAGAUAUCAGGAAGAACACCCGUGGCGAAGGCGGCUCUCUGGGACGUGACUGACGCUGAGACGCGAAAGCGUGGGGAGCAAACAGG